ACAUUCACAAAGCAAGUUGAAGCAAAAGCCUUUAUGGAUGAGUCUUUAAGAACACCAAGAAAGAUAGGCAAGAGGUGCAAAAUGACAAAUCAAAACCCGACUUGAUUUUCAACACUUCUAAAAAACACUCCGAAGGUGGUGGACUCAGGGUGUGAAUCAGGGGUGUAAAUUAGAUUUUUGCUUCUUAAGUCAUUUUGGCUUUAGUGAAUACAAUUCCAGUUUAAACCUUUAAGAUUUUUACUUUCGGCCGGUCGCGGUGGUUCAU
This 265-nucleotide long non-coding RNA is filed under the name Homo sapiens (human). RNAcentral's name for it is "non-protein coding lnc-FOXL2NB-3:2". The record is from RNAcentral. Lineage: Eukaryota; Metazoa; Chordata; Mammalia; Primates; Hominidae.